UCGAGCGAGAACCGGUCCUUCGGGACCGGGGACAGCGGCGAACGGGUGAGUAACACGUGGGUAAUCUGCCCUCGGCAUCGGGAUAGCCCGGGGAAACCCGGAUUAAUACCGGAUAGCCUCUCCGGCCUUCGGGCUGGAAAGAAAAGGUAGCUUCGGCCUCCGGCCGAGGAGGAGCCCGCGGCGGAUUAGCUUGUUGGUGGGGUAAUGGCCCACCAAGGCGACGAUCCGUAGCUGGUCUGAGAGGACGAUCAGCCACACUGGGACUGAGACACGGCCCAGACUCCUACGGGAGGCAGCAGUGGGGAAUCUUGCGCAAUGGGCGAAAGCCUGACGCAGCGACGCCGCGUGUGGGAAGAAGGCCUUCGGGUUGUAAACCACUUUCAGGAGGGACGAAGCCACUCGGGUUAAUAGCCCAGAGGGUGACGGUACUUCCAGAAGAAGCCCCGGCUAACUACGUGCCAGCAGCCGCGGUAAUACGUAGGGGGCAAGCGUUGUCCGGAUUUAUUGGGCGUAAAGCGCGUGUAGGCGGCUGGGUAGGUCCGCUGUGAAAACUCGAGGCUCAACCUCGAGAGGUCGGUGGAAACCAUCCAGCUAGAGUCCGGAAGAGGAGAAUGGAAUUCCUGGUGUAGCGGUGAAAUGCGCAGAUAUCAGGAAGAACACCCGUGGCGAAGGCGGUUCUCUGGGACGGUACUGACGCUGAGACGCGAAAGCGUGGGGAGCGAACAGGAUUAGAUACCCUGGUAGUCCACGCCGUAAACGAUGGGUGCUA
Molecule: ribosomal RNA, 769 nt
Filed under: uncultured bacterium
Lineage: Bacteria
Description: bacterial SSU rRNA
Rfam family: Bacterial small subunit ribosomal RNA
Source: RNAcentral